GAUGAACGUUGGCGGCGUGCCUAAUACAUGCAAGUCGAACGAAGACUGUAGUAAUACUGUCUUAGUGGCGAACGGGUGAGUAACGCGUGGGUGACCUGCCCCGAAGUGUGGGAUAACAGUCCGAAAGGAUUGCUAAUACUGCAUAAUAUCCAAGAGAUUAGAUGCUUUUGGAUUAAAGGAGUAAUUCGCUUCGGGAGGGGCCCGCGUCCCAUCAGCUAGUUGGUAAGGUAAUGGCUUACCAAGGCGAUGACGGGUAGGGGACCUGAGAGGGUGGCCCCCCACAAUGGAACUGAAACACGGUCCAUACACCUACGGGUGGCAGCAGUAGGGAAUAUUAGUAAUGGGCGAAAGCCUGACGCAGCAACGCCGCGUGACUGAUUAAGCUCUGAGGAGUGUAAAAGUCUGUCGUAGAGGAAGAAACUAUCCGAUAAGAAUAUUGUCGGAUACUGACGGUACUCUAUGAGAAAGCUCCGGCUAACUCCGUGCCAGCAGCCGCGGAAACUACUCGUA
This 510-nucleotide ribosomal RNA is filed under the name uncultured bacterium. RNAcentral's name for it is "bacterial SSU rRNA". It matches the Rfam family "Bacterial small subunit ribosomal RNA", at positions 28 to 529 of the family's 1533-position model. The record is from RNAcentral.